This 460-nucleotide ribosomal RNA is filed under the name uncultured bacterium. RNAcentral's name for it is "partial 16S ribosomal RNA". It matches the Rfam family "Bacterial small subunit ribosomal RNA", at positions 338 to 795 of the family's 1533-position model. The record is from RNAcentral.
CCUACGGGAGGCAGCAGUGAGGAAUAUUGGUCAAUGGACGAGAGUCUGAACCAGCCAAGUAGCGUGAAGGAUGACUGCCCUAUGGGUCGUAAACUUCUUUUAUAAAGGAAUAAAACGAGGCACGUGUGCUUUUUUGUAUGUACCUUAUGAAUAAGGAUCGGCUAACUCUGUGCCAGCAGCCGCGGUAAUACGGAGGAUCCGAGCGUUAUCCGGAUUUAUUGGGUUUAAAGGGAGCGUAGAUGGGUUGUUAAGUCAGUUGUGAAAGUUUGCGGCUCAACCGUAAAAUUGCAAUUGAUACUGGCAGUCUUGAGUACGGUUGAGGUAGGCGGAAUUCGUGGUGUAGCGGUGAAAUGCUUAGAUAUCACGAAGAACCCCGAUUGCGAAGGCAGCUUACUAAACUAUGACUGACAUUGAUGCUCGAAAGUGUGGGUAUCAAACAGGAUUAGAUACCCGGGUAGUC